CGUUCGACCCACCCUCCUCACCUCCGUUCGUCCCUCCCCACCUGCAAGCCCACCUCGAAACCCUAGCUGGCUAGCUGCACCGGCCGUUGGAGAUGGUAGCGGCGUUCUGGUCGGCGGCGAGGAGAGACUCCUUCUUCGAGGCCGCAGAGGGCUCCGCCACGCGUGACCAGAUGCCCGAUGCUGCGGGCGGCGGAGGCAGCCCCCGUCGGUUGAGGAGCCUGAGCAGUUUCCCGCCGUCUUCGCUCUUCUAGUGCUCCGAGAGGACUCGCCGCCCUUGCCGCCUCUGCUGCCGUCGGAGGGGAGGUAGGUGGUGGUUAUUUUCCCCAUGACAAGCGCCGCGACGACAACGAGGGCGGUGGCCACCGCUGCGCCCUUCUUGCUCCCCUUCGCUCUUGGCAGAAGCGCGCUUUAGGGCCUCCUCCACAUGUUCCGCGCUUCAGGGGCAACUAUGGAGAAGGAGAGUUGGAUGAAUUGGAGGCACUCCGCCUCAGCGGAGGCAAGACGGCCAGCAAUCUGAGGCGAAGAAAUCAUGGCGGCAACUGCUUCAGUUCAACACCUUGCUGGAGCAACAGCCAGAGAUGGUCCUCACACCCAAGGCAACAAUGUGCAUCCAAGGAGAUGGGGAGAAGCCGCCUCAUGUGCCUCUGUACGCCAUAGCCGGAGCAGCUGUCAAACAUUCCAUCCGGCGGUGCUGGAUCGGACGAGGAGCAGCGGCAAGACCUUCGCAUCCGCAAAUGGUGGAUCAGACGCUGAUGGAUUAUCCCAGCGCCGUGCUACAUUCUAAUCAGAUCUGUGAGAAUUGACCGAUCACGUCUCCCAGCUGCCGCAAUCUACGGUAAGCGGUUAAUGAUUUUAGGAGUCAAACUGACUGCUAGCCUGCUCGAUUGAAGAGGUGCGCCUGAUGUAUGUGCAAUUCUGUUGGUAGGCAAACUAACAGCUAGCCUAUAGUUCGAUUGAAUAGGCGUGCGUCAUGAAUGUGUGCCAUAGAUUUAGAUAAUCAACCUCACAGUACGCCUUUCAGUAUGCAUUAAGUGCUCCCUGACACAAACACUCUUUCUGUCCUGUAAACAAUGUCACAAUUUUGUUUAGAGUUGAAUGUAUUUAUACACUAAAUCACACCUACGUAUACCCAAAUUUAGACAAAAAACUAGGAAGUACAAGUUAUUUGGUAGAUUUUGAUAUAUAUGUAACUUAAUCUUAUUUGUAGUACAUCUCAAAAGAGAUAAUUAUUUGUGCAAUAUUAUGACAUGAUAUUCAACUAUGCUUUGCUAUUGUACUUGCAGCACUCGAAUUGUUACAUUUUUUUCUUCAGUUUGGAAAAAAACUAAUGUUUACUUGAGCAAAAUAGCACGUGUACAACAGUAAGUUUGGGACAUGGAAGCAAGAAGAGAAGUGGAGGAGCUCAAGAAUUUGCAAUUUAACCCCAAUUUCAUCGGACAAGUGCUAGCAAGAAGGAGGCGCGCCAUGCAUGGCAAGGCGACAAAAGUUUCGGUGUUGGCGAUGCAUGGCAUGGAGUAGUCCCAUGGAGUAUGACAUGCUCAACGCCCCCCUUACUGAUCAGCAAGAACGAUUUCUAUGUGAUUAUUACACUGGACAAUUUUUUCCAUGUGAUCUUGACGCUGAACCUUGGGUGCAUCGAUUGUGAACUGAUGACGAUCCAAUGUAUUUGCAACUCAUAAUCAUGAGAACUCAUUUCUGGCCAUCUAGAGGAGAACAUCAUGAGAACUCUUUUCUGGCCAUCUAGAGGAUAGCUGGAUAUCUUUUUCUGAAGACCUGGACUCACUGAAAAAUCUGGUAGUGGACAUGAGCGAGGUUUGCUGCAAAUACUUGGUGUAAUAUAUUCCAAGUAAAAUCUAAAGUUGUAUGUGUAACCUUGA
Non-coding RNA from Lolium perenne, 1877 nucleotides. The record is from RefSeq and is a predicted model, not a curated record. Lineage: Eukaryota; Viridiplantae; Streptophyta; Magnoliopsida; Poales; Poaceae.